This 119-nucleotide ribosomal RNA is filed under the name Pteropus alecto (black flying fox). The record is from RNAcentral. Lineage: Eukaryota; Metazoa; Chordata; Mammalia; Chiroptera; Pteropodidae.
GUCUACGGCCAUGCCAUCCUGAACAAGCUAGAUCCCAUCUGAUCUCAGAAGCUAAGCAGGAUCGGGCCUGGUUAGUACUUAGAUGAGAGUCCACCUAGGAAGACCAGGUGAUGUAGAUG